This 253-nucleotide ribosomal RNA is filed under the name uncultured bacterium. Its description in RNAcentral is "partial 16S ribosomal RNA". It matches the Rfam family "Bacterial small subunit ribosomal RNA", at positions 524 to 776 of the family's 1533-position model. The record is from RNAcentral.
UACGGAGGGUGCAAGCGUUAUCCGGAUUCACUGGGUUUAAAGGGUGCGUAGGUGGGCAGGUAAGUCAGUGGUGAAAUCCUUGAGCUUAACUCGAGAACUGCCAUUGAUACUAUCUGUCUUGAAUGUUGUGGAGGUGAGCGGAAUAUGUCAUGUAGCGGUGAAAUGCUUAGAUAUGACAUAGAACAUCUAUUGCGAAGGCAGCUCACUACGCAAAUAUUGACACUGAGGCACGAAAGCGUGGGGAGCAAACAGG